RNAcentral lists this ribosomal RNA (483 nucleotides) under uncultured bacterium. Its description in RNAcentral is "partial 16S ribosomal RNA". It matches the Rfam family "Bacterial small subunit ribosomal RNA", at positions 29 to 506 of the family's 1533-position model. The record is from RNAcentral.
AUUGAACGCUGGCGGCAUGCCUUACACAUGCAAGUCGAACGGCAGCACGGACUUCGGUCUGGUGGCGAGUGGCGCACGGGUGAGUAAUGUAUCGGAACGUACCUUUCAGUGGGGGGUAACGUAGCGAAAGUUACGCUAAUACCGCAUAUUCUGUGAGCAGGAAAGCAGGGGAUCGAAAGACCUUGCGCUGAUUGAGCGGCCGAUAUCAGACUAGCUAGUUGGUGGGGUAAAGGCCUACCAAGGCGACGAUCUGUAGCGGGGCUGAUGGGAGGAUGCGCCACACUGGAGGUGAGACACGGCCCAGACUCCUACGGGAGGCAGCGGUGGGUAAUUUAGGAAAAAGGGGGGAACCCUGAACCAGCCAUGCAGGGUGAGUGAAGAAGGCCUGCGGGUGGGAAAGCGCUCUCGGCCGGGAAGAAAGCGCAUAGGCGAAUACCCUGUGUGGAUGACGGUACCGGAAUAGGAAGCACCGGCUAACUACGU